Molecule: non-coding RNA, 72 nt
Organism: Halomonas sp. QHL1
Lineage: Bacteria; Pseudomonadati; Pseudomonadota; Gammaproteobacteria; Oceanospirillales; Halomonadaceae
Source: Rfam
GCUCAUGUAGCUCAGGGGUAGAGCACACCCUUGGUAAGGGUGAGGUCGACGGUUCAAUUCCGUCCAUGAGCU